UUUCGGAAAGCAAAAGACUCUUCUUUUCAAAUCAUCAUUCAGCUUAGCUCGUUGGUACGUCCCCAACGUAUCGUUGUCCUGUUUAACCGCAUCUUUCAAGAAAAAGAAGACAGGCCUCUUGCAAUAAGAUUUGUAAGGAUCUCGGGUAUCCAUAUCGAACUCGUUCCUCUUAGUCUUACCAUUCCACGCCGAGUAGGUCUUCUCUGAGAGAUCAAGAACACGCGGAAGCACAAUGCCAGGGAACACCUGUACAACAUACCCAAUCGAGACAACAAAGGAAAGGUGGCGAACAUGGUCGUAGCAAAUCGAUCUCUGCAAGAAGCUAGUGGGAUCAAGACUCAUGGCCUUUGUGAAGAGCCUGAGACUCUCUAGCGUGGUUAGACCCGGGUAAAGUGGAUCAAUAGCUUCGAC
Molecule: long non-coding RNA, 411 nt
Filed under: Linum usitatissimum (flax)
Lineage: Eukaryota; Viridiplantae; Streptophyta; Magnoliopsida; Malpighiales; Linaceae
Description: long non-coding RNA (LUSI_LNC001473)
Source: RNAcentral